RNAcentral lists this non-coding RNA (61 nucleotides) under unclassified sequences. Its description in RNAcentral is "L31-Gammaproteobacteria ribosomal protein leader". It matches the Rfam family "L31-Gammaproteobacteria ribosomal protein leader". The record is from RNAcentral.
CGUAUGGUGCUUAGCAAUUAAUAGGAAUUGACUAAGUGGCGAUACGGCCUAAUACAGAGGU